UGAGGAAUUUUGGACAAUGGGGGAAACCCUGAUCCAGGGAUACCGUGUGAGUGAAGAAGGUCUUCGGAUUGUAAAGCUCUUUUGGUGGGGAAGAUAAUGACGUUACCCACAGAAAAAGUGGCGGCAAACUCUGUGCCAGCAGUCGCGGUAAUACAGAGGCCACGAGCGUUGUUCGGAAUUACUGGGCGUAAAGGAUGCGUAGGCUGUUUUGUAAGUCUUUCAUGAAAUACCGGAGCUUAACUUCGGUGCUGUGAUAGAUACUGCAUAACUUGAGAUCGGGAGAGGUAAAUGGAAUUCCUAGUGUAGAGGUCAAAUUCGUAGAUACUAGGAGGAACACCAGAGGCGAAAGCGAUUUACUGGAACGAUUCUGACGCUGAGGCAUGAAAGCGUGGGGAGCAAA
RNAcentral lists this ribosomal RNA (400 nucleotides) under uncultured bacterium. RNAcentral's name for it is "bacterial SSU rRNA". It matches the Rfam family "Bacterial small subunit ribosomal RNA", at positions 355 to 772 of the family's 1533-position model. The record is from RNAcentral.